ACGCUCGACACCUAGGAGGCAGCAGUGGGGAAUAUUGCACAAUGGGGGAAACCCGUGAUGCAGCGACGCCGCGUGAAGGAUGAAGUAUUUCGGUAUGUAAACUUCUAUCAGCAGGGAAGAAAGUGACGGUACCUGACUAAGAAGCCCCGGCUAACUACGUGCCAGAAGCCGCGGUAAUCUGAGCGGGCUGGCAAGGC
RNAcentral lists this ribosomal RNA (197 nucleotides) under uncultured bacterium. Its description in RNAcentral is "partial 16S ribosomal RNA". It matches the Rfam family "Bacterial small subunit ribosomal RNA", at positions 328 to 539 of the family's 1533-position model. The record is from RNAcentral.